This 32-nucleotide non-coding RNA is filed under the name Rattus norvegicus (Norway rat). Lineage: Eukaryota; Metazoa; Chordata; Mammalia; Rodentia; Muridae. The record is from RNAcentral.
AAAAAGAUUUUUUAAAAAUUUCAAAAGGUAGC